Molecule: long non-coding RNA, 876 nt
Organism: Canis lupus familiaris (dog)
Lineage: Eukaryota; Metazoa; Chordata; Mammalia; Carnivora; Canidae
Exons: 3
Source: RefSeq, a predicted model, not a curated record
UGCGUCCAUGCAGACAGAAGACCCCCGCCUUGUCAGGGCCUUUGGUGAAGCCUAAGAAAAAUGUGGGUGCCUCAUCCACACUGACAGGAUUCUCCAGCCUCCUCAGGACCCACUGUGAAGGUUUGGGAAGAUUUGGGGCCACAUGUAUGCUGACAGGAGCCCCAGCCUCCUCAGGUCUUAUGGUGAGGCUUGAGGAAAAUGUGGGUCACCUCAACACUGACAGGAACCCCGUCCUCCUCAGGACCUGCACUAAAGCUUCAGGAAAUAUGGGGCUGCGUCUAUGCUGACAGGAGCCCACAGCCUCCUCAGGAUCCGCGGUGAGUUUUCAGGGGACGUGGGGCCAUGUCCAGGCUGACAGGAGCCCCCGGCCACCUGAGGACCUUCUGUGAGUCUUCCAGAGGAUGUGAGGCAUAGUCCACAGUGACAGGAGACCCGCCAUCCUCAGGACCCGCUGACUAUCACUCAGGAACACGUGGGGCCAUGUCCACACUCACAGGAGCCCUGCUUCCUCAGGACCCCCUGGAGGACUUUGGAGGCGCUGUUGGGGGCCUCGUCCACAUCAGAAGUGACUACUCAGAACCACAGGUCACACAGAGAGAGAGGCAGAGACAUAGGCAGAGGGAGAAGCAGGCUCCAUGCACCGAGAGCCCGACGUGGGAUUCAAUCCCGGGUCUCCAGGAUCGCGCCCUGAGCCAAAGGCAGGCGCUAAACUGCUGCAUCACCCAGCGAUCCCAGACUUCUUGUUUCCUGAGACUGUCGUGCCCAAGAUUGCGAAUCCGAGAACCCUCCGAGAAGCCAACAGUGAUGCAAACACACGAGGGUUUAUUUACCACCUCGAGCUUGUGUCCAAGUGUACCCAACAAGCGGAGCAUGGAC